This is a long non-coding RNA of Numida meleagris (helmeted guineafowl), 3950 nucleotides long. RefSeq lists it as uncharacterized. Lineage: Eukaryota; Metazoa; Chordata; Aves; Galliformes; Numididae. The transcript has 6 exons. The record is from RefSeq and is a predicted model, not a curated record.
CCCCGACGCCGCAGGGGCGCCCGGGAGCAGGGAGCGGCGCCGAUGUUAUUACUCAUCUGCGAGUGCGGCGGGGAAAGGCGCACCGCGUCGUCCCAGUUUGAAGCUGCCGCCGCCUGCGAGCACCCGGCGGGGCGAAGCACCCUAAAGCUAAGCGCGAGCCUAAACCUAACGCACUCCCGACGGGUGAGCGCUCGGGGCUGUGCCGCUCCUCCCAGAAAUUUGCUGGGGAGGAUCAAUCACCAAUCACAUCAUGUAACUCAUCUGUAACUCAGCAUAGUGAAGUGGAUCAGUCUAAGAGCCUGAACAGAACUAAACCAAGACUCAGGCUUUGGCCUUUGAGGAGAAAGAUCACUGGGGGACAUGUAAUCCCACUGGAGAUCCAGGAAGGCAGCUGGCCUAUCUCUUGGAAAGAAUGACUACACAGCUACUGAGAAUAAGCCUGCUGAAGGAUGGGAGCCCAGAGCAGAAGUAAAGAGCACCGUACCUGCAUGGCUAUGCCUGAGAAAUCUGUUGGAACCUACUGGGCUUAUUCUCUGGGAACACAAAGCUCUUGCUGGGCCAGGAGCUGGGAGAGCAGCAGUAUACCAGGAUGAGGAGAAUACUGUUGCUGGAGCUGUGCUUGUUUAGAAAAUCUUGACAUAUUCUUUACUGGAUUCACUGGCAGCAUCAUCUUCAUCCAGUUUGCGCUUAUGGCCCCUGGAAGGACAGAGAUAAAGCCCAUGAAUCAAGAAUCAAGAGAAUUAGCCAGAUUAAGCAGGAAGCUGAUGUGCACCAUACUCUGCCGGAAGGAUCACAUUCCUGGUUGUGAAAGACCUCCAAGGAAAAUCUAACACUUCAACUGGGACAAAGCCAUAAGCAGAAGAAUUUGGAUUUGUGGAAUCCUAAAAUCUCUGUUCUUUGCCAAAACAGAAUUUUAUAUCAGACAUAUACUUCUGAGGCAAAAAUAAAGUUGAGAUUUUGCACAGAAUUCAAAAUGAGCUCCAGAAAUAUCUUCAAAAAUCGUUCCUUGAUCAUUUGAUCAAAUUUCAGAGAAAUAUGCUCAAAGUGGGUCUCUCUUAAACAAAUGUCCUUUUCAGUGUUAGGUAGGGUUUCACUAAGAAGAGAAUGCAUCCACUUGCAAGAAUGAAAAAUUAACAAAGUGUCUUCAGCAAAAAGUAAUAAAUUAGCAAAGGCCCCUUUACUUCUAAGAGUAUAGACAAGUACCAUAUAGCAAGAAAGACCUUUGAUAUACGUAUACCCAAAAGAAAUAAAUACAAAGAUUAAAAGUCAAAUUUGUGAGCUUGUAAGCAAAACUGAAAUACAAAGCAAUUUCUAUCCAUACAAAGACAUUCUUAUUAACAUUCUUCCAGAACCAUUAAUUCUCAGAAGAGCAGACUACUUGCCACUUGACGUGUUGGCUGGUUCAGUGACACCUGACCUUCCUCUUUUUAACUGACAAAUCAGGGUGUGAUGUCAGGGGAGGGUAUGAAUCAAAAUGGUAGGAGAACAGCACUGUGUUACUCUGUCUUUCCAUUAUGCUGGUCCAUUGGGACCAAAAGAUACACUGCUGCUGGUUUGCUGAUUACUUCCUCACAAUGAUGUUAGAUUUACUUUUCCUUCUGUACAGGGUGGUAGGAACAAGUUUGCCGAUGACACAAAACGAGGAGUGGCUGAGACACCAGAGAGUCAUGAAGCCACCCAGAGGGACUCAGGCUGAAGAAGUGGCAUGACAGGAACCGCAUCAGUUAACAAGAAAAGGUGCAGAAUGCUACACUUGGGGAGAAACAACCCCAGGCAUCAGGACCUGCUGGCGGCUGGGCAGCCGGAAAGCAGCGCGACAGGAAAGCACUUGGAGGGCCUGGUGGACACCAAGUUGAACAUGUGCUAGCAGGGUGACUUUGCCACAAAGAAGAGUGCAGAAGAAUUCUGGGCUGCAUUAGGUAUUGCCAGCAGGUCAAGGGAGGUGAUCCUUCUCCUCUGCUCAGCAUUGGUGAGGUCACAACAGCAGCUCUGGUCUCCCAGGUACAAGAGAAAAACAGAACUACUGGAGACUAUUCCAACAAAGGGCCAUGAAGAUAAUAAUGGGACUGAAGCAUCUCUCUUAUGAGGAAAGGCUGGGAAAAGUGGGACUGUUCAGCGCAGAGGGAGGUGCCUGAAAGGAAGGUGCAAAGAGUAUGGAGCAAGGCUCUUUUCAGAGGUGCCCAGUGAAAGGACAUGAGGCCAUAGGCACAAACUGGAACACAAGAGGUACCCUCUGAACACCAGGAAGCACAUCCAUGCUGUGUGGGUGACAAAGGACUGGCACGGACCACUCAGUGAGCUGGUGGACUGUCCUCCUUUGAGACUUUCAAAAGCCAUCUGGACAUGAUUCUGGGUAGCUUGCUGCAGGCGGCCCUGCUUGAGCACGGAGUUGGACCAGAUGACUUCCAGACAGCACUUCCAACUUCAUUCAAUCUGUGAUUCUGUGAUUUUGUGAGUAAUAAUCCUGUGAGUAAGGCUGAAGCCCUGGUUUUCAAUCUAGUGUCAGAAUUCUUAAGGAAAAAUGGGGUGAGGUGAAAGCACUUUCUGCAUAUUUUGCUGUCUAAGCUAAAAUGUGCUAAGGGAGCUAUAGGGCACUAAAUCCAGCUUAAUACACAAGGAAAAGCAGCCUCUCAGGCACAUUAGUUAUUUCUACACAGCCUACACUAGUGCACAGCUCAGAUGAAGAAGCACCCAGACUAAAAAUGCUCCGCUGGAAGAAAUUUUAGCACAUUUCCAUUAAAUCUUAUACAAAUGCUUGUAUAAGAUAAUGUAUGGUGCUUGUGUUUUACUUGUUUACUUCAUGAUUAUUUCAGCCUUGAGAGAUACAGCUUAGUUUUAGUCAUUAAUGACACUAUUAGCUGGAGAAAAGUUAAUUGCCGAAUAAAGAAAGCUGAGUCUUACUCGGCAAAAGCAGAAAACAUUACCGUUGAACAAGCAGUGGAUUAGAAAUCUAUUCUUAGUGCUAACCGAGCAAUAAGAUAAAUAAAAACAAAGAGGGAAUCUAUAGAACAAUGUUCACAGUAGAAAACAUGCAUAUUUACAACAUUUCAGCUAUGGAAACUGAUUGAACCAAUUGAAAACUAAAAUUUACAGUCUGAUGGCAGGUACUGCAAGUCUGCUGGUAUCCAAACCAAUACGAAAGAACCUGUAGGAAAAUAUCCAGUAACUCAUUGCUAGUUGAUUAUUCCUAAAAGUGAGAAACUAUUUACUGAAUAAUCAAGCCAGAAGCCAGGAGUACUAGUCCAUGCAGCAAACCCACCUUUUCAUUUAAAUUUACUCCAGAGCAAAUAUAUUUCAGUGAGGAUGAUCAACAAAACAUAAGCACCUGAAAUGCUCAGUGUAGCUUGUUAAUUCAAGAAUGGAGUACCUAUCUACAAAAAGUCUCUGCAGAAAACUUUAAGGCAAAGUCCUGACAUAAAGUCCAUCUCUCACCCAGCUGUAUUAAGCAGUACCUUCUGAAACACAAAAAACUAAAUGCCAUCUGUUUUGUCAGUUCUUGUUCUUUUGAAACAAAAGAUUUUAUAUGUUCUAUUUUAUACAUUCUAUGCCAAACUUCUUCACUUAAUAAUUAGACCAAAAAAAAACCAAAACCAAAACAAAAAAGAACGCACAGCUACAUGUUAAUCCUCUGCUAUAAGAAAGGAAAAAUCUGAGUGCCGCUAUCUACUAACAUAUCAAAACCUUUCGCUAUUUGUGUACUGUAACUGGCAUCUUCAUAAUUAUUCCAAAAGUAUUUAAAUGCAUAUUUUGAAAACACAUGCAAAGCUAACUUGGAUAGAAAUGUGGAACAAGAACGUCAAAUAAAGCUGCAUUUUUAACUUGUGAAUUCAGAAAAGAGUGAUAACAGAUUAAUCAUUACUGUCUUAAGAGAAAAGCAGUAUUUUCCCAUGACAGCAUGUAUGUUAACAGAAUAAACAAUUUCAAACGUGUAUUUCAAAGGUGUACUCAAA